Molecule: long non-coding RNA, 864 nt
Filed under: Homo sapiens (human)
Lineage: Eukaryota; Metazoa; Chordata; Mammalia; Primates; Hominidae
Description: long non-coding RNA NONHSAT176454.1
Source: RNAcentral
AGAGAACUGGCCAGGGUAUAAAAAGGGCCCACAAGAGACCGGCUCUAGGAUCCCAAGGCCCAACUCCCCGAACCACUCAGGGUCCUGUGGACAGCUCACCUAGUGGCAAUGGCUCCAGGCUCCCGGACGUCCCUGCUCCUGGCUUUUGCCCUGCUCUGCCUGCCCUGGCUUCAAGAGGCUGGUGCCGUCCAAACCGUUCCCUUAUCCAGGCUUUUUGACCACGCUAUGCUCCAAGCCCAUCGCGCGCACCAGCUGGCCAUUGACACCUACCAGGAGUUUGAAGAAACCUAUAUCCCAAAGGACCAGAAGUAUUCAUUCCUGCAUGACUCCCAGACCUCCUUCUGCUUCUCAGACUCUAUUCCGACACCCUCCAACAUGGAGGAAACGCAACAGAAAUCCGUGAAAUCUAGAGCUGCUCCGCAUCUCCCUGCUGCUCAUCGAGUCGUGGCUGGAGCCCGUGCGGUUCCUCAGGAGUAUGUUCGCCAACAACCUGGUGUAUGACACCUCGGACAGCGAUGACUAUCACCUCCUAAAGGACCUAGAGGAAGGCAUCCAAACGCUGAUGGGGGCUGGAAGACGGCAGCCGCCGGACUGGGCAGAUCCUCAAGCAGACCUACAGCAAGUUUGACACAAACUCGCACAACCAUGACGCACUGCUCAAGAACUACGGGCUGCUCUACUGCUUCAGGAAGGACAUGGACAAGGUCGAGACAUUCCUGCGCAUGGUGCAGUGCCGCUCUGUGGAGGGCAGCUGUGGCUUCUAGGUGCCCGAGUAGCAUCCUGUGACCCCUCCCCAGUGCCUCUCCUGGCCCUGAAGGUGCCACUCCAGUGCCCACCAGCCUUGUCCUAAUAAAAUUAAGUUGU